Molecule: ribosomal RNA, 394 nt
Filed under: Nasutitermes ephratae
Lineage: Eukaryota; Metazoa; Arthropoda; Insecta; Blattodea; Termitidae
Description: partial 16S ribosomal RNA
Source: RNAcentral
CAUCUUUUCUUGUUAGUUUUUGAAGUAUGGCCUGCCCACUGACUUAGAGUUGAAGGGCCGCGGUAUUUUGACCGUGCAAAGGUAGCAUAAUCAUUAGUUCUUUAAUUGUGAUCUGGUAUGAAUGGCUUGACGAGGCAUAAGCUGUCUUAGAGGUAUUGGUUUAUUGAAUUUGGUUUUUGAGUUAAAAUUCUUAAAUGUUUUUAUGGGACGAGAAGACCCUAUAGAGUUUGACAAUUUUCCUAUUUAUUCGUUGUUUGUGUUUAUUUACAUUGAGUGGGAGUGAAUUGUUUUGUUGGGGUGAUGGGAGGAAUAUUAUUUAACUCCUCUUUGUUUUUAUAUAUUUAUGUAUAUAUUUUUGAUCCAUUUAUUUUGAUUAUAAGAUUAAAUUACCUUA